UGCAAGUCUGCAAUGCACUCUGGGCAGGGAACCUGUGUGCAAGUCUGCAAUGCACUCUGGGCAGGGAACCUGUGUGCUCAUCUGCAAUGCAGUCUAGGCAGGGAACCUGUGUGCUCGUCUGCAAUACACUCUGGGCAGGGAACCUGUGUGCUCGUCUGCAAUACACUCUGGGCAGGGAAACUGUGUGCAAGUCUGCAAUACACUCUGGGCUUUAUGUCUAAAGUCAGUCAGCAGGGUUUUUUGCAAGCGGAAUGCAGAAGCCAUGUAAGGCCACAGAACAGUUACAGACGAUGAGGAACAGUGAGCGUCCCCCUCCCAUUCAGUGGGAGCCACCUGCGCAGGCCCACCCCACAGACCACAGCGAGGAUGCGCGCCUAAGAACGGUGGUGGUUGGAACUAAGGUCCUGCUCUGGCUUUGCCUUCCACCAUGAAUGAAAGCUCCCUAAAGCCUCCCCGGAAGCAGACGCCACCAUGCCUCCUGCAUAGCCUGUGGAGGAAACCUCUUCUUUUCCUUAUAAACUAAACCUCUUUUCCUUAAAAAUUACCCGGCCUCAGGUAUUUCUUGAUAGCAAUGCGAGAAUGCACUAAUAACACCAGGUAUACGCCAACAGUAGAAUAAAUAUUCAUUUAAUCCGAUACAAAAUUAUUUAACAGUUACACUUAUACAAUUACAUAUAUUCCCCCAAAGUUUAUUAUUUCUCAAAGAUUAAGGUGUAUCUUUACUUUGUAGUCAUAACUGAGUGUCUGCUUGUUAAUGGUAUUGCAGUUUAUAUAAAAUAAAAAUGGUGGAAACAG
Molecule: long non-coding RNA, 795 nt
Filed under: Homo sapiens (human)
Lineage: Eukaryota; Metazoa; Chordata; Mammalia; Primates; Hominidae
Description: HSALNT0338603
Source: RNAcentral